AAUAAAUCAAACAAGAAAUAUACAAAACUGAUAUGAAGAUUAGCAACAAUGUUUUUAUAUAAGAAUAAAAUAAUAUUCUUCUUCUUGGCUUUUCCACGAUACUUAAAAUUCAGUUUUAUCAGUUUACUUCUUGCACAUCUUCCCAUCCAAGACCAUGUCUCUGUAGCUUUACAGGCUUUCAAAUCCCUCUUCACAGUCGUCUCCUACCAAAUCUUAAUCUAUUGUAUUUGUAAGAACCACGGAGGUGUCCUCAAAGAUGGCCAUAAAAAUUUGUCAGAAUCUGACACCAGGAGCAGAUUUAUUUCGUGAU
RNAcentral lists this long non-coding RNA (310 nucleotides) under Androctonus crassicauda. The record is from RNAcentral. Lineage: Eukaryota; Metazoa; Arthropoda; Arachnida; Scorpiones; Buthidae.